AUUGAACGCUGGCGGCAUGCUUUACACAUGCAAGUCGAACGGAUCUAGGGGCUUGCUCCUAGGUUAGUGGCGAACGGGUGAGUAAUGCAUCGGAACGUACCGUGUAGUGGGGGAUAACCCGGCGAAAGUCGGAUUAAUACCGCAUACGAUCUACGGAUGAAAGCGGGGGACCUUCGGGCCUCGCGCUAUACGAGCGGCCGAUGUCGGAUUAGCUAGUUGGUGAGGUAAAGGCUCACCAAGGCUACGAUCCCUAGCUGGUCUGAGAGGAUGAUCAGCCACACUGGAACUGAGACACGGUCCAGACUCCUACGGGAGGCAGCAGUGGGGAAUAUUGGACAAUGGGCGAAAGCCUGAUCCAGCCAUGCCGCGUGUGUGAAGAAGGCCUUCGGUUGU
This 393-nucleotide ribosomal RNA is filed under the name uncultured bacterium. Its description in RNAcentral is "bacterial SSU rRNA". It matches the Rfam family "Bacterial small subunit ribosomal RNA", at positions 30 to 426 of the family's 1533-position model. The record is from RNAcentral.